UACGAAGGGGCUAGCGUUGCUCGGAAUCACUGGGCGUAAAGCGCACGUAGGCGGAUUGUUAAGUCAGGGGUGAAUCCUGGAGCUCAACUCCAGAACUGCCUUGAUACUGGCGAUCUCGAGUCCGGGAGAGGUGAGUGGAACUGGCGAGUGUAGAGGUGAAAUUCGUAGAUAUUCGCAAGAACACCAGUGGCGAAGGCGGCUCACUGGCCCGGUACGUGACGCUGAGGUGCGAAAGCGUGGGAGCAAGCAGGGAUUAAGAAACCCUGGGUACGU
This 273-nucleotide ribosomal RNA is filed under the name uncultured bacterium. RNAcentral's name for it is "partial 16S ribosomal RNA". It matches the Rfam family "Bacterial small subunit ribosomal RNA", at positions 524 to 794 of the family's 1533-position model. The record is from RNAcentral.